This 363-nucleotide ribosomal RNA is filed under the name uncultured bacterium. RNAcentral describes it as "bacterial SSU rRNA". It matches the Rfam family "Bacterial small subunit ribosomal RNA", at positions 8 to 334 of the family's 1533-position model. The record is from RNAcentral.
AGGGUUUGAUUCUGGCUCAGGAUGAACGCCGGCGGUGUGCCUAAUACAUGCAAGUCGAACGCGUUGGUCCAAUUGAUUGAUGGUGCUUGCACCUGAUUGAUUUUGGUCGCCAACGAGUGGCGGACGGGUGAGUAACACGUAGGUAACCUGCCCAGAAGCGGGGGACAACAUUUGGAAACAGAUGCUAAUACCGCAUAACAACGUUGUUCGCAUGAACAACGCUUAAAAGAUGGCUUCUCGCUAUCACUUCUGGAUGGACCUGCGGUGCAUUAGCUUGUUGGUGGGGUAAUGGCCUACCAAGGCGAUGAUGCAUAGCCGAGUUGAGAGACUGAUCGGCCACAAUGGGACUGAGACACGGCCCAU